Molecule: ribosomal RNA, 301 nt
Filed under: uncultured bacterium
Lineage: Bacteria
Description: partial 16S ribosomal RNA
Rfam family: Bacterial small subunit ribosomal RNA
Source: RNAcentral
CAGCCGCCGCGGUAAUACGAAGGGGGCUAGCGUUGCUCGGAAUGACUGGGCGUAAAGGGCGCGUAGGCGGUGGCCAAAGUCAGGCGUGAAAUUCCCGGGCUCAACCUGGGGGCUGCGCUUGAUACUUGGUUGCUUGAGUGGGGAAGAGGGUCGUGGAAUUCCCAGUGUAGAGGUGAAAUUCGUAGAUAUUCGGAAGAACACCAGUGGCGAAGGCGGCUCACUGGCUCAUACUGGACGCUGAGGUGCGAAAGCGUGGGGAGCAAACAGGAUUAGAUACCCGUGUAGUCCCUGUCUCUUAUAC